This 82-nucleotide small nucleolar RNA is filed under the name Carlito syrichta (Philippine tarsier). RNAcentral describes it as "Small nucleolar RNA snR60/Z15/Z230/Z193/J17 (ENSTSYG00000024820.2)". The record is from RNAcentral. Lineage: Eukaryota; Metazoa; Chordata; Mammalia; Primates; Tarsiidae.
CCUCUGCAAUGAAGAUAGUGUAGUUCAACUGACAAGCACUGAAAAGCACUAUUAAGCCUUUCUCUCCUGUCUGAUGAAUCUG